RNAcentral lists this ribosomal RNA (422 nucleotides) under uncultured Alphaproteobacteria bacterium. Its description in RNAcentral is "bacterial SSU rRNA". It matches the Rfam family "Bacterial small subunit ribosomal RNA", at positions 8 to 477 of the family's 1533-position model. The record is from RNAcentral. Lineage: Bacteria; Pseudomonadati; Pseudomonadota; Alphaproteobacteria.
AGAGUUUGAUCCUGGCUCAGAACGAACGCUGGCGGCAGGCCUAACACAUGCAAGUCGAACGAUGCCUUCGGGCAUAGUGGCGCACGGGUGAGUAACACGUGGGAACAUACCUUUUGGUGGGGGAUAACUUCGGGAAACUGAAGCUAAUACCGCAUACGCCCCUUGGGGGAAAGAUUUAUCGCCGAAAGAUUGGCCCGCGUCCGAUUAGCUAGUUGGUGAGGUAAUGGCUCACCAAGGCUCCGAUCGGUAGCUGGUCUGAGAGGAUGACCAGCCACACUGGGACUGAGACACGGCCCAGACUCCUACGGGAGGCAGCAGUGGGGAAUAUUGGACAAUGGGCGCAAGCCUGAUCCAGCCAUGCCGCGUGAGUGAUGAAGGCCUUAGGGUUGUAAAGCUCUUCACCCACGACGAUGAUGACGGUA